ACAUUAUGGUUCCCACCAGUGUCUUACUGUUGCUGACAGCUGCAUCCUAUGUUCAGUCGGAUGUUGAGCUCACUCAGCCCAGCUCCAUAGUAAUUAAGCCUGGGGACCCUCUCACCAUCCCCUGUAAGGUGUCUGGAUAUUCUCUUACUUCAUGCUGUAACUACGCGACGGCAUGGGUUCGACAGCCUGCAGGGAAAACACUGGAGUGGAUAACAGACAUAUGGGAGAAUGGACAUAUUUACAAGGCAGAUUCCCUGAAGAGCAAGUUCAGCAUCUCUAAAGAUCCCUCCAGCAGCACAGUGACUCUGAGAGGGCAGAACCUGCAGACUGAAGACUCAGCUGUCUAUUACUGUACCAGGCGACCACUGUGAUACCAACCAGUAGAGGACCUGAGCAAAAACUUUACUGACACAAUAUAAAUGCUCGAGUAGAAUUAAUUAAACAUGUUUAAGCACAGUGUAGACAAUUACUCAGCAUAUUACAUUUCCGGGGGUAAAUAGCAUUAAAAUAAAGUGAAAUAAAUAUUCAGAAAAUGUGAAAUGGGUGGGCUCCAUGUACCUAUCCAAACCAAGCCCGAACUGUGCUGACAUCACUAGUCCCUCUUGCCCCCUCUUGGCCAAUCAACGCUGCAGUACUUAUUUCAGCUGGUAGAGGGCAGCCUAUGAAAACUCUCAUUCACCUUUUUAAC
Non-coding RNA from Clupea harengus (Atlantic herring), 688 nucleotides. NCBI's taxonomy places the organism in Eukaryota, Metazoa, Chordata, Actinopteri, Clupeiformes, Clupeidae. The record is from the annotation of a RefSeq genome assembly.